CCUACGGGAGGCAGCAGUGGGGAAUAUUGGGCAAUGGGCGCAAGCCUGACCCAGCAACGCCGCGUGAAGGAAGAAGGCUUUCGGGUUGUAAACUUCUUUUAAGGGGGACGAACAGAUGACGGUACCCCUUGAAUAAGCCACGGCUAACUACGUGCCAGCAGCCGCGGUAAUACGUAGGUGGCAAGCGUUAUCCGGAUUUAUUGGGUGUAAAGGGCGUGUAGGCGGGAGCGCAAGUCAGAUGUGAAAACUCAGGGCUCAACCCUGGGCCUGCAUUUGAAACUGUGUUGCUUGAGUGCUGGAGAGGCAAGCGGAAUUCCGGGUGUAGCGGUGAAAUGCGUAGAUAUAAGGAGGAACACCAGUGGCGAAGGCGGAUUGCUGGACAAUAACUGACGCUGAGGCGCGAAAGCGUGGGGAGCAAACAGGAUUAGAUACCCGAGUAGUC
RNAcentral lists this ribosomal RNA (442 nucleotides) under uncultured bacterium. RNAcentral's name for it is "partial 16S ribosomal RNA". It matches the Rfam family "Bacterial small subunit ribosomal RNA", at positions 338 to 795 of the family's 1533-position model. The record is from RNAcentral.